RNAcentral lists this ribosomal RNA (255 nucleotides) under uncultured bacterium. RNAcentral describes it as "partial 16S ribosomal RNA". It matches the Rfam family "Archaeal small subunit ribosomal RNA", at positions 474 to 727 of the family's 1478-position model. The record is from RNAcentral.
UACCAGCACCCCGAGUGGUCGGGACGUUUAUUGGGCCUUAAAGCAUCCGGUAGCCGGUUCUACGAGUCUUCCGUUAAAUCCAACUGCUUAACAGGUGGGCUGCGGAAGAUACUAUAGAGCUAGGAGGCGGGAGAGGCAAGCGGUACUCGAUGGGUAGGGGUAAAAUCCGUUGAUCCAUUGAAGACCACCAGUGGCGAAGGCGGCUUGCCAGAACGCGCUCGACGGUGAGGGAUGAAAGCUGGGGGAGCAAACCGG